Molecule: ribosomal RNA, 703 nt
Filed under: Fusarium hostae f. sp. hyacinthi
Lineage: Eukaryota; Fungi; Ascomycota; Sordariomycetes; Hypocreales; Nectriaceae
Description: SSU rRNA
Rfam family: Bacterial small subunit ribosomal RNA
Source: RNAcentral
ACGGCACUUGGAGAGUGGCAGUCUUCCAGUAUGGGGAGCAAAACAGCUAUGGGUCAAGUCCGAGAUCUUUAGGAGAAGUCUUAUUGUGAGGGCGAGUUAUAUAACACCAUAGGACUGGCCGUCCCAUAUGAAAAGAUUAUAUUAGAAUUGAAUGAAGCUUUGUUUAUAUAUUGAUAAUGACAGUAUAUAUAUCGUGUCUUGACUAAUUGCGUGCCAGCAGUCGCGGUAAUACGUAAGAGACUAGUGUUAUUCAUCUUAAUUAGGUUUAAAGGGUACCCAGACGGUCAAUAUAGCUUAUAAAAUGUUAGUACUUGACUAGAGUUUUAUGUAAGAGGGCAGUACUUGAGGAGGAGAGAUGAAAUUUCGUGAUACCAAAGGGACUCUGUAAAGGCGAAGGCAGCCCUCUAUGUAAAAACUGACGUUGAAGGACGAAGGCACAGAGAACAAACAGGAUUAGAUACCCAAGUAGUCUUUGCAGUAAAUGAUGAAUGCCAUAGGUUAGAUUAAUAGUUAAUGUUUAUAGGCUAAUUAUGGGCUUAGCUUAGCAAACUAAUGCUAUAGACUAGACAUUAAAAAUUAUUUGGUCUAUAAAUGAAAGUGUAAGCAUUUCACCUCAAGAGUAAUGUGGCAACGCAGGAACUGAAAUCACUAGACCGUUUCUGACACCAGUAGUGAAGUAUGUUAUUUAAUUCAAUAAUCCGCA